Sander lucioperca (pikeperch) is the source of this 194-nucleotide long non-coding RNA. RefSeq lists it as uncharacterized. The record is from RefSeq and is a predicted model, not a curated record. Lineage: Eukaryota; Metazoa; Chordata; Actinopteri; Perciformes; Percidae. The transcript is spliced from 2 exons.
UUUGGAUGCUUUUAUCGUAGACCUUAGUGGUCCCCUAAUACUGUACUGAAGUCGCUUUAUAAGACCUUAUAUAGACCUUAUUGGUCCCGCUAAUACUGAUCUUAAGUCUGUUUAUAUAGACGUAGUGGUCCCCUAAUCAUGUAUCUGAGUCAUCUUUCUAUAAGACCUUAGUAGAUGAUCCCCUAAUACUGUAU